GGGCUUUAACUGACGCUGAGGCACGAAAGCGUGGGUAGCAAACAGGAUUAGAUACCCUGGUAGUCCACGCUGUAAACGAUGAUUACUAGGUGUGGGGGGUCUGACCCCUUCCGUGCCGCAGUUAACACAAUAAGUAAUCCACCUGGGGAGUACGGCCGCAAGGUUGAAACUCAAAGGAAUUGACGGGGGCCCGCACAAGCAGUGGAGUAUGUGGUUUAAUUCGAAGCAACGCGAAGAACCUUACCAGGUCUUGACAUCCUAAGGAUCCUGUAGAGAUACGGGAGUGCCCUUCGGGGAAUUUAGAGACAGGUGGUGCAUGGUUGUCGUCAGCUCGUGUCGUGAGAUGUUGGGUUAAGUCCCGCAACGAGCGCAACCCUUACUGUUAGUUGCUACGCAAGAGCACUCUAGCAGGACUGCCGUUGACAAAACGGAGGAAGGUGGGGAUGACGUCAAAUCAUCAUGCCCCUUAUGACCUGGGCUACACACGUACUACAAUGGCCGUCAACAGAGGGCAGCAAAAUGGUGACAUGGAGCAAAUCCCUAAAAACGGUCUCAGUUCAGACUGCAGGCUGCAACUCGACUACAUGAAGCUGGAAUCGC
This 600-nucleotide ribosomal RNA is filed under the name uncultured bacterium. Its description in RNAcentral is "bacterial SSU rRNA". It matches the Rfam family "Bacterial small subunit ribosomal RNA", at positions 731 to 1335 of the family's 1533-position model. The record is from RNAcentral.